Molecule: non-coding RNA, 21 nt
Filed under: Arabidopsis thaliana (thale cress)
Lineage: Eukaryota; Viridiplantae; Streptophyta; Magnoliopsida; Brassicales; Brassicaceae
Source: RNAcentral
UAGUAGACAGGUGCAUAAACU